GAGAGACCGGCGCACGGGUGCGUAACGCGUAUGUAACCUGCCUUACACCGGGGGAUAGCCUUCCGAAAGGGUGAUUAAUACCGCAUAAUAUUAUAUAGCCACCGUGGUUGUAUAAUUAAAACUUCGGUGGUGUAAGAUGGACAUGCGUAUGAUUAGCUAGUUGGGGGGUAACGGCCCACCAAGGCGACGAUCAUUAGGGGUUCUGAGAGGAAGGUCCCCCACACUGGUACUGAGACACGGACCAGACUCCUACGGGAGGCAGCAGUGAGGAAUAUUGGUCAAUGGACGGAAGUCUGAACCAGCCAUGUCCGCGUGCAGGAUGACUGCCCUAUGGGUUGUAAACUGCUUUUGUAUGGGAAGAAAGUGGGGUACGUGUACCCCUUUGCCGGUACCAUACGAAUAAGGAUCGGCUAACUCCGUGCCAGCCGCAGC
RNAcentral lists this ribosomal RNA (432 nucleotides) under uncultured bacterium. RNAcentral describes it as "bacterial SSU rRNA". It matches the Rfam family "Bacterial small subunit ribosomal RNA", at positions 89 to 518 of the family's 1533-position model. The record is from RNAcentral.